This 253-nucleotide ribosomal RNA is filed under the name uncultured bacterium. Its description in RNAcentral is "partial 16S ribosomal RNA". It matches the Rfam family "Bacterial small subunit ribosomal RNA", at positions 524 to 776 of the family's 1533-position model. The record is from RNAcentral.
UACAGAGGUCCCAAGCGUUACUGAGAAUCACUGGGUUUAAAGGGUGCGUAGGUGGCACGUUAAGUCAGUUGUGAAAUCCCCGGGCUCAACCCGGGAACUGCUUCUGAUACUGGCGUGCUUGAGGCCAGUAGGGGUCACUAGAACUGACGGUGGAGCGGUGAAAUGCGUAGAUAUCGUCAGGAAUGCCGGUGGUGAAGACGGGUGAGUAGGCUGGUUCUGACACUGAGGCACGAAAGCGUGGGGAGCGAACGGG